Molecule: ribosomal RNA, 448 nt
Filed under: Lysobacter antibioticus
Lineage: Bacteria; Pseudomonadati; Pseudomonadota; Gammaproteobacteria; Lysobacterales; Lysobacteraceae
Description: bacterial SSU rRNA
Rfam family: Bacterial small subunit ribosomal RNA
Source: RNAcentral
GGGCGUAAGCGUGCGUAGGUGGUUUGUUAAGUCUGAUGUGAAAGCCCUGGGCUCAACCUGGGAAUGGCAUUGGAAACUGGCUUACUAGAGUGCGGUAGAGGGUAGUGGAAUUCCCGGUGUAGCAGUGAAAUGCGUAGAUAUCGGGAGGAACAUCUGUGGCGAAGGCGACUACCUGGACCAGCACUGACACUGAGGCACGAAAGCGUGGGGAGCAAACAGGAUUAGAUACCCUGGUAGUCCACGCCCUAAACGAUGCGAACUGGAUGUUGGGAGCAACUUGGCUCUCAGUAUCGAAGCUAACGCGUUAAGUUCGCCGCCUGGGAAGUACGGUCGCAAGACUGAAACUCAAAGGAAUUGACGGGGGCCCGCACAAGCGGUGGAGUAUGUGGUUUAAUUCGAUGCAACGCGAAAAACCUUACCUGGUCUUGACAUCCACGGAACUUUCCAG